This is a long non-coding RNA of Sarcophilus harrisii (Tasmanian devil), 2271 nucleotides long. RefSeq lists it as uncharacterized. The record is from RefSeq and is a predicted model, not a curated record. NCBI's taxonomy places the organism in Eukaryota, Metazoa, Chordata, Mammalia, Dasyuromorphia, Dasyuridae. The transcript has 3 exons.
AUGGUUCUUUCUCUGGAUGGGGAAUGUAUUUUACAUUACAAUUGUCUUGGAAUUGACUUGGAUCACUACAUUGUUGAGAAGAGCUAAAGAAUAUCAUAUUCCAUACCCUCCAGUCCUUUAAUAUAGAAGCUGCCAAAGUACUGUGGAAAAGGAUGACAGACCUCCUAAUGAAUAUACCUACUUUUCUAGUUAAUCAAUAUAUUCAUGAAAAUAAUUUACAAAUGCAUUAAAAAGAAAUCCUAAGUGAGGACACAGGAAGCAAAGAUUGCUGGCCCAGACAAUGCCUUUGGAGUUUGCAGUUCUAGGAGAGUGGGUGUUUACUACGCCUUGGAAAAAGCAGAGUGGGAAGGACCUUACCAAACAUUACAGAUGACUGAGACUGCAGUCUGCAAACUAAAAACACCAUGAUUAAAGGACCUGUGGAAGAACCUCAAGAACAGACUGUUAAGGAAAAUUUAUAACCUCUAAAAUGGAUGUUGCAAUAAGGAAUGUUUUGUUUGAAGGUGGGAAUGUUUGUGCUUAGAGGAAUUUGAACAAUGUUGGUGUGAUACCUAUUAUUUAUAUUUCCAGAAAAGUUUAUAGGGACUCCUUGAUUGAAGGGGUUUGAAUUAACAUUUUUUAGGAUGAAGAAAUUAUUGUUAAUUUUGAUAGGGUUUUUUAAUUUGAAAUUUGAGCAAACUAUUCUAUAUUCUAGCUAAGUUUUAAUUUGCUGUAUUGAGUCAUCUUAAAGCUGUUCCCAUUGUUUAGGGAGAUUCUGAGAACAGUGGUCUAUAUCUUUGUCCCUUUCAACAUGGUUAAUACCUGAACAUGUUUUGAUAUAGAUUGGUUAUUGAUCAUCUUAAAAUAAAAAUUGUUUGUGUAAUGUUGUAUUUAAAACCCGUCUACAUAGAUAUGAUUAAGAUAAGCCAUGAACUUUCUAGGAUGAAUUUAUUACUGUUAUCAAUGUAAGAUCAUAAUCAAUACUUAUUUAGAAUAUAUGAUCCUUGAAUGCUAAAUUCACCUGAGGCUUUCAUUAAUGACACUUGCUAAUUGAGUAAAAUCUCUUGGAAUUGCAGCUGAUAUUUGAUGUUCUGAAUACAGGUAUGAUUGCCUUAGGAAUCAUCAGCUGGUAAUUCAACAACUGAAAGUAACAUGCCACAAGCUACUCAGAGGAAUGUGAUAUUGAAUUGUUAUGGGUAAAGGUUAAUAUCUGGACAAGACAUGGGAGGACAACCUUGGUCUCCUCUUAAGGUGGGAUCCUUCUGAUUCAGUUUCCUAGUGGUAUUCCUUUGAAUAAGAAUCCGCCUGAUUAUUCCUGAAUUUGACUAUAAGGUGGAAUUGUUUUUGCAUACAAUUAUUUAAAGUCAAACUGAGCUAAGGAUGCUUUAUUCUGUCAUGCAUGCAUUUUCAGACUGAGGCCUGAAGGACCAAGUUUUGGAUUAUAAUCACAUCUCUGCUUUUUCCUCUUAUAGCAAAUUUCUAUAAUCACGGGGAAAGGUCAGUAGAAACUAUGAGCACAAUUCAAGUAUGUAAGAUCUUGCAGGUUCCUACCUGAAAAUAUAUGGUCAUUAUAUCCUAAAUAAGUAAGCGAGCAUUUGGCCUAAUCAUGUGUUUCUUUUAGCAUUUCUGUUGUUGCUGACUUUUCUGAUAGGGACACAAAUGGGUAGGGUGAUAGAUGGCUCUAGAUAGGAGUUGAGGGUAUAGAACCCCAAUUUCUAUGCUGAAUAGACUCAUUAGAUACCAGGACACUAUAAAAAUAACUAAUAACCCAAUAACAAAGGCACUGGAUUUGUUAACAGACUAGGCUACUCCAGACUGGAGAAGCAGUACUCCACCACAGAUUGGUAUUAGACUACUUGUUUAUUGGCUGAAGAAGGAAAUUAAAUCUAUCUACUUGCUGUGUGAAAAGUGAUUAUAAUGCACAGGUAGUGAAGGAAAUUGAUAAAGACAUCAGAAAACUGUACCAUGUCCUAUUCCAGACCUGGUCCUCACCAUUUAAUAUCUCUUGAUGGUCUUGGUAUGGAGGCAGCUGAGGGAAACAGCUUCUUAGGUUCCUGCCGAUAGCUUUAAGUGGAAUGAUACUACUUCCUGUGUUGUGCCAAAGUUCCCUUUUAAUGUCAUGACCCACUUUCUCCAAUUGUCCUAUUUAGUUAUUCUGUUUCAGGUUAUAUAACCUUUCCCUCUUAAUGUUUUAUGAGAUAAAGGUCUACCUCAGUUACUCUGCCCCAAAAUCCCAAGCUAUAAUCAUUCCCUCUUAAAUGGUUGAUGAGAUAAAGGUUUUAUAUCUUUAGG